Molecule: ribosomal RNA, 440 nt
Filed under: uncultured bacterium
Lineage: Bacteria
Description: partial 16S ribosomal RNA
Rfam family: Bacterial small subunit ribosomal RNA
Source: RNAcentral
CCUACGGGAGGCAGCAGUGGGGAAUAUUGCACAAUGGGGGAAACCCUGAUGCAGCGACGCCGCGUGAGUGAAGAAGUAAUUCGUUAUGUAAAGCUCUAUCAGCAGGGAAGAAAAUGACGGUACCUGUGUAAGAAGCCCCGGCUAACUACGUGCCAGCAGCCGCGGUAAUACGUAGGGGGCAAGCGUUAUCCGGAUUUACUGGGUGUAAAGGGAGCGUAGACGGCAGUGCAAGUCUGUAGUGAAAGGCGGGGGCUCAACCCCCGGACUGCUCUGGAAACUGUACGGCUGGAGUGCAGGAGAGGUAAGUGGAAUUCCUAGUGUAGCGGUGAAAUGCGUAGAUAUUAGGAGGAACACCAGUGGCGAAGGCGGCUUACUGGACUGUAACUGACGUUGAGGCUCGAAAGCGUGGGGAGCAAACAGGAUUAGAUACCCCAGUAGUC